RNAcentral lists this ribosomal RNA (497 nucleotides) under uncultured bacterium. Its description in RNAcentral is "partial 16S ribosomal RNA". It matches the Rfam family "Bacterial small subunit ribosomal RNA", at positions 28 to 507 of the family's 1533-position model. The record is from RNAcentral.
GAUGAACGCUGGCGGCGUGCCUAAUACAUGCAAGUCGAGCGAACGGACGAGAAGCUUGCUUUUCUGAUGUUAGCGGCGGACGGGUGAGUAACACGUGGAUAACCUACCUAUAAGACUGGGAUAACUUCGGGAAACCGGAGCUAAUACCGGAUAAUAUUUUGAACCGCAUGGUUCAAAAGUGAAAGACGGUCUUGCUGUCACUUAUAGAUGGAUCCGCGCUGCAUUAGCUAGUUGGUAAGGUAACGGCUUACCAAGGCAACGAGGCAUAGCCGACCUGAGAGGGUGAUCGGCCACACUGGAACUGAGACACGGUCCAGACUCCUACGGGAGGCAGCAGUAGGGAAUCUUCCGCAAUGGGCGAAAGCCUGACGGAGCAACGCCGCGUGAGUGAUGAAGGUCUUCGGAUCGUAAAACUCUGUUAUUAGGGAAGAACAUAUGUGUAAGUAACUGUGCACAUCUUGACGGUACCUAAUCAGAAAGCCACGGCUAACUACGUG